RNAcentral lists this ribosomal RNA (301 nucleotides) under uncultured bacterium. RNAcentral's name for it is "partial 16S ribosomal RNA". It matches the Rfam family "Bacterial small subunit ribosomal RNA", at positions 509 to 807 of the family's 1533-position model. The record is from RNAcentral.
CAGUAGCCGCGGUAAUACGAAGGGGGCUAGCGUUGCUCGGAAUGACUGGGCGUAAAGGGCGCGUAGGCGGAUUGUUUAGUUAGGCGUGAAAUUCCUGGGCUUAACCUGGGGACUGCGCUUAAUACAGGCAGUCUAGAGUGAGGAAGAGGGUUGUGGAAUUCCCAGUGUAGAGGUGAAAUUCGUGGAUAUUGGGAAGAACACCGGUGGCGAAGGCGGCAACCUGGUCCUUGACUGACGCUGAGGCGCGAAAGCGUGGGGAGCAAACAGGAUUAGAUACCCCCGUAGUCCCUGUCUCUUAUAC